Molecule: ribosomal RNA, 842 nt
Filed under: uncultured deep-sea bacterium
Lineage: Bacteria
Description: bacterial SSU rRNA
Rfam family: Bacterial small subunit ribosomal RNA
Source: RNAcentral
AGAGUUUGAUCAUGGCUCAGAACGAACGCUGGCGGCAUGCCUAACACAUGCAAGUCGAACGAAGGCCCGGAGCUUGCUCCGGUCACCUUAGUGGCGAACGGGUGAGUAACGCGUGGGAACCUGCCUAGGAGCGGGGAAUAACUACUGGAAACGGUAGCUAAUACCGCAUACGCCCUCCGGGGGAAAGGCUUCGGCCACUCCUAGAUGGUCCCGCGUCUGAUUAGCUAGUUGGUGGAGUAACGGUUCACCAAGGCGACGAUCAGUAGCUGGUCUGAGAGGAUGAUCAGCCACACUGGGACUGAGACACGGCCCAGACUCCUACGGGAGGCAGCAGUGGGGAAUAUUGGACAAUGGGCGAAAGCCUGAUCCAGCAAUGCCGCGUGAGUGAAGAAGGCCUUAGGGUUGUAAAACUCUUUCGCCGGUGAAGAUGAUGACUGUAACCGGUAAAGAAGCUCCGGCUAACUCCGUGCCAGCAGCCGCGGUAAUACGGAGGGGGCUAGCGUUGUUCGGAAUUACUGGGCGUAAAGCGCACGUAGGCGGUUUAUCUAGUUAGGCGUGAAAGCCCUGGGCUCAACCCAGGAACUGCGUUUAAUACUGGUAGACUAGAGACCGAGAGAGGAUGGCGGAAUUCCCAGUGUAGAGGUGAAAUUCGUAGAUAUUGGGAAGAACACCGGUUGCGAAGGCGGCCAUCUGGAUCGGAACUGACGCUGAGGUGCGAAAGCGUGGGGAGCGAACAGGAUUAGAUACCCUGGUAGUCCACGCCGUAAACGAUGGGUGCUAGUUGUUGGGGCCUCAGGUCUCAGUGACGAAGCUAACGCGUUAAGCACCCCGCCUGGGGAGUA